UUUUUUUUUUGGUUAAAACUUUAUGACUCUAUAACUUCUAUACCAUGAGGCCAAACUUGGCAUGUGAUACCUUUUCGGAAAGCCCAAAGAGAGCCUCCGACGAAAGAAGCAAGACAAUGGAAUUUUUCCAUUGACUUUUUGUGGACUCCAAAUUUUGACCUUUAAGUACUUUUUCGGGCAUUUUCGUGAUUUGUACUAUAUUACGGACCCAAAAUUACUUUUUCAAGCAUUGUUUUCGAAUAUUUUUCACUCAUCAAAGCUCGUUAAGACUAGAUGCGGCUUCUACUUGUCUGUUCCCGUGUA
Molecule: small RNA, 303 nt
Filed under: Arabidopsis thaliana (thale cress)
Lineage: Eukaryota; Viridiplantae; Streptophyta; Magnoliopsida; Brassicales; Brassicaceae
Description: ATSL199780
Source: RNAcentral